GAGAGGUAACGGCUCACCAAGGCAUCGACGGGUAGCUGGUCUGAGAGGAUGAUCAGCCACACUGGAACUGAGACACGGUCCAGACUCCUACGGGAGGCAGCAGUGGGGAAUCUUGCACAAUGGGCGCAAGCCUGAUGCAGCGAUGCCGCGUGCGGGAAGAAGGCCUUAGGGUUGUAAACCGCUUUCAGUAGGGAAGAAAAUGACGGUACCUACAGAAGAAGGUGCGGCCAACUACGUGCCAGCAGCCGCGGUGACACGUAGGCACCAAGCGUUAUCCGGAUUUAUUGGGCGUAAAGAGCUCGUAGGCGGUUUGGUAAGUCGGGUGUGAAAACUCUGGGCUCAACCCAGAGAGGCCACUCGAUACUGCUAUGACUAGAGUACGGUAGGGGAGCGGGGAAUUCCUGGUGUAGCGGUGAAAUGCGCAGAUAUCAGGAGGAACACCAGCGGCGAAGGCGCCGCUCUGGGCCGUAACUGACGCUGAGGAGCGAAAGCAUGGGUAGCAAACAGGAUUAGAUACCCUGGUAGUCCAUGCCGUAAACGUUGGGCACUAGGUGUGGGUCUCAACCAACGAGAUCCGCGCCGUCGCUAACGCAUUAAGUG
RNAcentral lists this ribosomal RNA (600 nucleotides) under uncultured Actinomycetes bacterium. RNAcentral describes it as "bacterial SSU rRNA". It matches the Rfam family "Bacterial small subunit ribosomal RNA", at positions 252 to 866 of the family's 1533-position model. The record is from RNAcentral. Lineage: Bacteria; Bacillati; Actinomycetota; Actinomycetes.